Molecule: ribosomal RNA, 419 nt
Filed under: uncultured bacterium
Lineage: Bacteria
Description: bacterial SSU rRNA
Rfam family: Bacterial small subunit ribosomal RNA
Source: RNAcentral
GGAAUCUUGCGCAAUGGGCGAAAGCCUGACGCAGCGACGCCGCGUGAGUGAUGAAGGCCUUAGGGUUGUAAAGCUCUGUGGAGUGGGACGAAUAAGCUGUAGUUAAUACCUGCAGUGAUGACGGUACCUGUUUAGCAAGCACCGGCUAACCCUGUUCCAGCAGCCGCGGUAAGACAGAGGGUGCAAACGUUGUUCGGAAUUACUGGGCGUAAAGCGCGUGUAGGCUGUUGCGCAAGUCGGGUGUGAAAGCCCAGGGCUCAACCCUGGAAGUGCACUCGAAACUGCGGAACUAGAAUCUCGGAGAGGGUAGCGGAAUUCUGGGUGUAGAGGUGAAAUUCGUAGAUAUCCAGAGGAACACCGGUGGCGAAGGCGGCUACCUGGACGAGUAUUGACGCUGAGACGCGAAAGCGUGGGGAGCA